AUACGUAGGGGGCGAGCGUUGUCCGGAAUGAUUGGGCGUAAAGGGCGCGUAGGCGGCUUGUUAAGUCUGGAGUGGAAGUCCUCUUUUCAAGGGAGGAAUUGCUUUGGAAACUGGCGGGCUCGAGUGCAGGAGAGGUUAUCGGAAUUCCCGGUGGAGCGGUGAAAUGCGUAGAGAUCGGGAGGAACACCAGUGGCGAAGGCGGGUAACUGGACUGCAACUGACGCUGAGGCGCGAAAGUGUGGGGAGCAAACAGGAUUAGAUACCCUGGUAGUCCACACUGUAAACGAUGAGUGCUAGGUGUAGGAGGUAUCGACCCCUUCUGUGCCGGAGUAAACGCAAUAAGCACUCCGCCUGGGGAGUACGGUCGCAAGAUUAAAACUCAAAGGAAUUGACGGGG
RNAcentral lists this ribosomal RNA (397 nucleotides) under uncultured bacterium. RNAcentral describes it as "partial 16S ribosomal RNA". It matches the Rfam family "Bacterial small subunit ribosomal RNA", at positions 523 to 918 of the family's 1533-position model. The record is from RNAcentral.